RNAcentral lists this transfer RNA (94 nucleotides) under Chlorobi bacterium OLB7. RNAcentral describes it as "tRNA-Arg". Lineage: Bacteria; Pseudomonadati; Chlorobiota. The record is from RNAcentral.
GGCCACGGGCUGCGCUGCCGGCAGCAAGGUUCGCUUCUGCCGGACCGGCGCGGAAACUGCAACCUGCGGUUGCGGUUCCGUCAGCACGCGGCUC